This 69-nucleotide transfer RNA is filed under the name Bombus kashmirensis. RNAcentral's name for it is "tRNA-Cys". Lineage: Eukaryota; Metazoa; Arthropoda; Insecta; Hymenoptera; Apidae. The record is from RNAcentral.
AUUUAAUAUAGUUUAAAUAAAAUUUUAAAUUGCAAUUUUAAAGAUUAAAAAUAAUUUUUAUAUUAAAUU